This 698-nucleotide small RNA is filed under the name Malus domestica (apple). Its description in RNAcentral is "sRNA MD16G0113300". Lineage: Eukaryota; Viridiplantae; Streptophyta; Magnoliopsida; Rosales; Rosaceae. The record is from RNAcentral.
AUGGAGUUUGCUCUUGUGGUGAUUACUGGUGAUUGAUCUGCUUUAUUUGGAUCUAUGGUUCCUCAAGGGUUGAACUGAUGAAGUGCCCUUGUCCUCAAGGAUUCACUCCCUUCCAGAUUUAAUGCCAAACAUUUCCUAGAAUGGAAUCAGCAAGGACAAACUUGUGUCUAAGAAGACGUGGAGCUUGAUACGUCAGCAGCAAUUUGCAAGCGCUACACAGUGUGUUCCAUUGUCGAAGCAAGAGAGUAUAAGUGGCCUCUGUUUGACAGCGAUACUUACGGUUAAGACCACUCUGAUUCUGAGAAUGUAGGUGAGGAAGGUGACUUUAGAAAGAAGGCUAAAGAAACUCCCUUUCCGGAGAUUGCUUACAUCAAUUUGCUGAUCAGGUUAGAAAGUUGCUCUUGUCAUUUAUAAGUCCGGAAUAUACUCCCGGGUCCCAAGUCACACAAAGUUUGUCAGAAUCUUGUCUUGCCAAUGGUGGUUAUUUGAGGAGACAAAUGAAAUUAUUCAGAGAGGGAUACUUAGAUACGAUUUUAGGAUCAGUUCAAGAUCACAUAUGUAAAUCUUGAACGUGUAAGUUGUAAUGAUUAGUUGUUCAGGCCUAAAUUCAAAUUUCUUGUACCCCCAUUGGAUUCGUUGGCUCUUAAGGCCUUUGUAUCACGAUAUGUAUCCUUAAAUUCGAUUUUGGUUAUCUGUCC